UAACGAAGGUGAAAGUGAGGAUGAUAUC
RNAcentral lists this small RNA (28 nucleotides) under Bombyx mori (domestic silkworm). Its description in RNAcentral is "ovarian small RNA-18792". The record is from RNAcentral. Lineage: Eukaryota; Metazoa; Arthropoda; Insecta; Lepidoptera; Bombycidae.